GACGAACGCUGGCGGCGUGCCUAAUACAUGCAAGUAGAACGCACAGUUUAUACCGUAGCUUGCUACACCAUAGACUGUGAGUUGCGAACGGGUGAGUAACGCGUAGGUAACCUGCCUGGUAGCGGGGGAUAACUAUUGGAAACGAUAGCUAAUACCGCAUAAUAUUGAUUAUUGCAUGAUAAUUGAUUGAAAGAUGCUAUUGCAUCACUACCAGAUGGACCUGCGUUGUAUUAGCUAGUAGGUGAGGUAACGGCUCACCUAGGCGACGAUACAUAGCCGACCUGAGAGGGUGAUCGGCCACACUGGGACUGAGACACGGCCCAGACUCCUACGGGAGGCAGCAGUAGGGAAUCUUCGGCAAUAGACGAAAGUCUGACCGAGCAACGCCGCGUGAGUGAAGAAGGGUUUCGGAUCGUAAAGCUCUGUUGUAAGAGAAGAACGGGUGUGAGAGUGGAAAGUUCACACUGUGACGGUAUCUUACCAGAAAGGGACGGCUAACUACGUG
RNAcentral lists this ribosomal RNA (505 nucleotides) under uncultured bacterium. RNAcentral describes it as "partial 16S ribosomal RNA". It matches the Rfam family "Bacterial small subunit ribosomal RNA", at positions 28 to 507 of the family's 1533-position model. The record is from RNAcentral.